ACUGGCUAUUUGUAUAAGCAUUGUAGGCUGCUAUGUCACAUGUGUGUCAUUGGGUGGCAGAGAGAACAGAGGCCUAAGCCCAGUGUUCUGACCUAUGAACAUCUAUGAUUAGUAGCCUAUGAUU
This 124-nucleotide small nucleolar RNA is filed under the name Mus spicilegus (steppe mouse). RNAcentral's name for it is "Small nucleolar RNA SNORA17 (ENSMSIG00000029563.1)". It matches the Rfam family "Small nucleolar RNA SNORA17". Rfam says of the family: snoRNA ACA 17 belongs to the H/ACA family of snoRNAs and is predicted to guide pseudouridylation of the 28S rRNA at positions U4659 and U4598. It shares the same host gene together with ACA43. Lineage: Eukaryota; Metazoa; Chordata; Mammalia; Rodentia; Muridae. The record is from RNAcentral.